Molecule: long non-coding RNA, 5201 nt
Organism: Limulus polyphemus (Atlantic horseshoe crab)
Lineage: Eukaryota; Metazoa; Arthropoda; Merostomata; Xiphosura; Limulidae
Exons: 2
Source: RefSeq, a predicted model, not a curated record
UCGUGUAGCUUUUCACGAAAUCCAAAAACAAACAGUCAAUUUGAUAUGUUCAUUAUAUUGAGCCUGAACAAUGAAAUUUAUUUUACAUUCUGUAAUUAUGUUAUCAGUUUUAGCUUUGUGACACAUAUUUUCAUAUACUUUCUCUAUGUAUGACAUAAUGUCAGUAUGUCACUUGUGGAAGAAAAUUAAUCUGUAAACAAGUUAUACUCGGGUAGUUUUGGUUCAUUGUUAACAGACUCACUCCACCUUGAAAUAUACUGCAAAAUAUUUUAAGUUUCUUUGUCAACUUGGUAACCAAUUUUUUCUAUAUAUUGACUCUAUGUACUAAGCUAGACGUAAUUUGUCCCCUGUCACAGUAUCAGUACCGUACUGCUGAGUACAUCUUGAUUAUAUUACUUUCACAGGUGUAAAAAAAUAGCUGGUAUUAUCUGCUUUAGUAUGGUGAUGGAUAAGUGAUCCACAGCGGGAAAACUUCUAAUACAUUUUUCAUCUUUAAUAUUUUCUUAAUAAUAAUAAUAAUAAAACUUAUGAUCAGAGACAAUUAUGUACUUAGAGCGAUAUUAAAAAUCAGCCUGGUUGUUAGUAUAGCUAGUUAAGUACUUAUAAAGAUUAGGAUGAAUUAUUUCAUCAGUUGGGUACCGUCGCUCUUAACGAUUGAGUUUUGAAAUAAAUGUAUACUAAUUAGCAACCAUGCUUGUCCCUUCCGUGUGUUAUUUAUUUCUGAGGGUUACUAGUUUAUAUUUAUUUGUGUGUAAGUCAGUGCUACAUUCUAAUACUGAGAAUGAUCACCAUAAGAAAUAGCUUGUUUUCAGGUUUCGUGGAAACCACAAGAUUGAAGAAGUUUAACAGGAUAAGUAGUGAUCAGUGUUGGAUAUUCUAAAAAAUGGUUUCUCUAGGCAGUUUGAAGUAAGAUGAUAGUAGAAAAUGGGAUAGCUUUGGUAUCUCUUGAAGAUGAAAAAGUGUGUUAUUAUAUUUAUAGUUACAGCACCAUUUCUGUGGGAUAGUCUUGUUAUUAAUUUCCAAAACAAUUCUUGUAAUUAAAUACAUGCAGUAAAAUAUAAGUUAUGUGAAUGUUUUAAACUCUUGUUGUAUAGUUUUGAUCAUACAAUUAACAUUAUAUUAAAAGGUUAAAAAUGUGUGCAGCAUUUUUAUUUUCACAGGCCUUCUGGCACUUGUACUAGCACUUUUCAGAUUUGAAGUUUAAGCCUAGUUACAGGAGAUUAUUAUGUUGCCAUUUUUAAAUUUACUGUUUUAAUUUUUUGACAUGAAAUUUGAACCUGUUUUUAAUACAGUUUUCAUUCAUUAAUCGAUUUUAUUGAUAUUUUUGUACUAAUUUUUUACUGUGAAAAUUGUAAUUUAGUUUUUAAACCAAUUAUAGUUCAUUAUAAUCCAGUUUUUUUAAACCAAUUAUAGUUCAACAUUUUCAUCAGGCUUUGUUUCAGGAAUCUUGCAUUAACUGUGUAAUUUUAACUUAGAACUUAUUAUCAUUUUAUAUAAUUGUGGUCUGCAUUUUGUUUUGUCAUCAGUCUACAUUAAAAUACAGCUGUAUUAAAAAAAUGAAACAAGAAUUUUAUAUAUAUAAAUGAUUGAUAGCAGCAAGUCUUAAGUUUUGAACAAUUAUCCUGACAUGUAACUUUUUGGUUACUGAUAAAAAAAAAAGACAUUUAAAAUAAAAUUACUCAUAUCGUCUGGAAUUAGUUAUAUUUACAGUCUGUGAAAUUGCUUAUUUAAUAUGAUGUGUUUAUUUAUUUAUUUAAAUAACUUCUUUUCCCCACCAGUAGUGGUUUUUGUAAAGAACAAGCAUCAAUAACGUGUUUUGUGUUUAUACAUAUAUGAAUUGAUCAUGAAAUUACUGUGUGUGUAUAAUUGUAGUAGUCUAGCAACUUAACAGUUUGAUGUUUUCAUUUCAUUUUAGAAAGAUUGAUGUGAAGUCCAGUUUAGACAUCUAGUUAAAUUAAAUUGUAAAAGAUGUCAGAAUAAUUUGGUAUGUAUAUAUAUAUAUAUACAUACAUAUGUAGUACAAUGUUAUAAUUUUCCUAUGUUUGUUGUUAUUUGUUUUUAUUUUUGUUUGUGGACUUUUAAACUGUUUCAAUUUGCCGCUUCAUAUUUAGAACCGUUAAGAACAUAUGAAAUAACAAUUGUUAUAUUUCAUCCAACUGUAUCCUCUCACAAGUAGCUUCAAAUGUGAAGUUUUUGUUUGGGGAUUUAUUUAUGACCAUGUCAUCGCAAGGGCUGUUUUAUCAUCAAUAUAUUUAUUUUCAGAGGCCUAAUUAUGGAAUUUUUAUUGUGCUUUUGUUGAUCAGAUAUGUUGUCUCUUUCUUACCCCUAACAACUAUUAAUAUUGUAUGUAAAAUAGAAACGUUUAGUGCAAUGUACCAGUUGUCUCAUGUCUGUUGUUGCAAAAAAAAGAAAAGAAAAAAAGAUUCUAUUGGUGAUUAUCUUCACUCAGACGCUUUUAUUUUUUGCACGAAUUUCCACUCCAAAUAUCGAAACUUCCAUUUUCUUAUUAUAACUAUGUCACUAAAGGCAAAUCACAGUGGUAAACGAAAAACAGUUAUGUACUUUUUUUGUUUAGUCAGUGAAGUUGGCAAACACACGUCCGUAUGUGCUCGUGUGUUACAUGACUAGAAUAUUGACCAUAACUAGAGAAUGUUUUUAACUGUGAAUUUCAUAUUUGAUAUAUAAGAAUCUUUGUAUAAAGUGAUACUCUAGUUAAAACGGAACUCAAGUUAACAAAUUACAAACAGUUCUUGUCUUUCAUACAUGGAUUUUUGUAUGUGAUUUAGAAGCUAGUGAUUCAUUCUAAAAGUGUGCAGUUAGGCUUUCCGCUAUGGGCGCAACAACUUAUAAGUGGCUGGGUUGAUAUUUGUGAUGUAGGAAUACACGUCUAGUUUAUUGAAUUAGAAACAAUAUCAUAUUUCCUUACGAGUGACGUAACUCUUGUUUAUAAACGUACCACUAAACUUCAAUAUUUCAAAAGAGUAUACAAACGGCUAGGCUUAGCUCCAGAUUUCAUAUUUUAGUAAUUCUUAACAACAAAACUUGAGUAAUGAAUCUUGAAGGAAAGGUAGAUUGGCUGAAACAUCAUGGUAGAAGAAAGGAUUCUUAUGGUAGGCGUAUAGAUAUAAAUCACAUCAAACAAGUUAUUACCAAGAAUCAUACAAAACUAAAUUAAACAAUGAUCUUCCUAGUUGAGAAGUGGUGUAGCACGAAACUAAACUUCUUAGCUGGUCAUAGAGUAUGCUUAAUGUGAGAGUGACAAGCACGUGGGAAAUGAGUUUGUGGCCGUAUUUCAACAUGCCUGGGGGGGGGGGGGUCUGCUGUGCCCAGGUUUUGAAUAUUGUGUUGUCUUAUAAGGUUGCAUAAGAAGCAAGUUUUUCAUUUGUGUUUCUGAGUUGUUGUUUUUUGUUUUCAUUUCGUGCCUCCAUAAAAAUAAAAAAAUGCAUAUACAUAUGCUGAAUGAUUAAAGAAAGAAUUAUGUUUCUCAUUUUUCGGGGGUAAGUUCCCCCUUUCUCCCUUUCCUCCCUGCGGACGCCCAUGCAUGCCUCUGCGUUGUAUGCUUAUAAAUCUCACUUGGUUGGUCUGUGCAUAUGAUUAUGAAAUGAAUUACUAGUUCCUGCAUAUUUAAAAAAAUACACCCCCAUCACCCAUUUUAAGACUCCUGUCUUGAAAUUCUUUCCCGCGUCUCUGAAGAGCAAUGUAUAUUUUACAUUUCAAUGCUGCAGUGUGUGUACACAUGUUUGAAAAAAAAAUACUAAGUUUGUACUUGUGGCACUUAUCACCUUAUAAUGUAAAAACUCGGAAUUUCAUUACGUGGAUUAUUGUUAUGCUCAGUAAUCCUAAAUUGUUUUUUUUUCUUAUAUUUUAUUGGAUUUUCACCUGCAACUAUUGUUUAAAGAUACACCGAUUUAAGGUACUAUUUUUAAACGCUCACUUACACGAAAUGUAUAUUUAAAUACAGUUAAUGACUGUACUUGUGAAUUAAGUAAAUAAAGUAAAAAGCAUCACAGCGUUUAAAAGUGCGCAAUAAUUUAUUACAACGGCACCAGGUUCGAUGGAUAACUAUAGGUUUUGGCGCCACCAUCAUCAUAAGUCACGACUUUAUGACGUCACGGUAGCACCGACCGCCGAAAGGUGUAUUUAUCCAAAGAGCCUUUGUGACGUUUUACGUAUAUUAUUUUUAAUUUCUUUUUUAACGUUUUGAUAUUUCGGUUUAUUUAAAGUAAACAUUAUGUUGUUGCGGAGUAUGUUAAGAUAUUGGUAUCUUGUAUUAGUUAUAAUGUGUUUAUGGCCGUAAUGUGCCAUAAUAUGAUUAUAGAAGCAUAUAAAAUAUAUUUUAAAGUAUAAAUUUAAAAGUAAAGAAGUUUAAAAACAACCGUACAAAUAUUCUACUAUUAAGUAAUAUAGUAACAAAUAUUAAAAUUGGAAAAUGAAGGGGGGGGGGCAACAAAACGCAUGUUUAGAAAGUGGCUUAUGGUAAAGAGAAGAAUAGAGUAACAUUGCUUAACUGGCGUUUUAUUGAGCUGUCGCAUGCACAUCUAAAUAGAAAUUCAUGUUUAAGUCAAAAAAAUGUAUGAUUUAGUAUGAAUCGGUAUGUUGAAUGCCCUUGGUAUAAUAGCAGAAUACGUUCAGAUGUUUCUUGUUACAAAAUGUUCCACCAGGUAUCUGAAGAAUAGUUUAGUGUAUUUGUUAUAAUUUUAGCCCAACUGAAGAUUGUAAAAUGAAGCUAAUAAAGAGAGUGACAAAUUAGGGCAUGGGUAUAAAUAUAGCCCGGUAAGCGGAAGCUUUUUUGUAAGGCUUCUCCUUUGAUGCUGGUUAAACUUUUUAUUUGUAAAAAAAAAGUGGAAUUUCCUACAAAUUGAUUUUUAUUGUAGUGCAUUUUGGUAGAGUACUUGCCAUAGUCAUUAUACGGUUUAGAUAUGUUGACUUUGUACGUGUGAAGUCGUGAUGUGCAGAUUUUAAACUGUUUUACACAACAUUUACUGUUUACACACACGCAUGUAGACCGUUUUCUUCAAAACUGUGUACUGUUGAAUAACAAAUGUAAAAAUUUGGUUGUGACCGGACCUGUUUGUUUUACGUAUUUAUAUAAUUCGCGACGUUUUAAGAAUCGAUCUGUUUUAAACGUUUCGGCCUGUAUUAUCUGUAUGGAAAACUGUGUCGCUUGUCUUGUAUGUAACCAAAUAAAGAAAGUUGUUGUA